GACGAACGCUGGCGGCGUGCUUAACACAUGCAAGUCGAACGGAGCACCCUUGACGGAGUUUUCGGACAACUGAUAGGAAUGCUUAGUGGCGGACUGGUGAGUAACGCGUGAGGAACCUGCCUUUCAGAGGGGGACAACAGUUGGAAACGACUGCUAAUACCGCAUGACGCAUGACCGGGGCAUCCCGGACAUGCCAAAGAUUUAUCGCUGAAAGAUGGCCUCGCGUCUGAUUAGCUAGUUGGUGAGGUAACGGCCCACCAAGGCGACGAUCAGUAGCCGGACUGAGAGGUUGACCGGCCACAUUGGGACUGAGAUACGGCCCAG
This 324-nucleotide ribosomal RNA is filed under the name uncultured bacterium. RNAcentral describes it as "bacterial SSU rRNA". It matches the Rfam family "Bacterial small subunit ribosomal RNA", at positions 28 to 334 of the family's 1533-position model. The record is from RNAcentral.